AAUGAACGUUGGCGGCAUGGAUUAGGCAUGCAAGUCGAGCGAGAAGAGUUUUGAAGCUUGCUUUAGAACUCGGACAGCGGCGAAAGGGAGAGUAACGCGUAGUUAUGUGCCCUAGGGUCCGGAAUAGCCACGGGAAACUGUGGGUAAUGCCGGAUAAUAUCCCCGGAUCAAAGGUGUGAUUCCGCCCUAGGAGCAGACUGCGUCCUACUAGCUAGUUGGUGGGGUAAUGGCCUACCAAGGCAACGAUGGGUAGCGGGUGUGAGAGCAUGACCCGUCUCACUGGGACUGAGACACUGCCCAGACACCUACGGGUGGCUGCAGUCGAGAAUCUUCGGCAAUGGGCGAGAGCCUGACCGAGCGAUGCCGCGUGCGGGAUGAAGGCCCUCGGGUUGUAAACCGCUGUUGUAGGGGAGGAAGGUUCCGUGAAGAGCGGAAUUUGACCUAUCCUAGGAGGAAGUACGGGCUAAGUCCGUGCCAGCCGCCGCGGUAA
Molecule: ribosomal RNA, 490 nt
Filed under: uncultured bacterium
Lineage: Bacteria
Description: partial 16S ribosomal RNA
Rfam family: Bacterial small subunit ribosomal RNA
Source: RNAcentral